Molecule: long non-coding RNA, 16151 nt
Organism: Acinonyx jubatus (cheetah)
Lineage: Eukaryota; Metazoa; Chordata; Mammalia; Carnivora; Felidae
Exons: 4
Source: RefSeq, a predicted model, not a curated record
AGCUGAACAUUUUUAUCAAUUCGAAGAGAUUAUUUUUAAUAUACUCUGUGGGAUUUGGGGAAGGUUGAAGAACACUGGUAUAUAUGAAAUGGUUACCAUAUUGUUUUACAAAUAAUAAGUCUUCAGUAAGCAUUUAUUUUUCUUCUUCUCCCUGUCCUCCCUCUCUUCGUCCUUGUCAUGACACGAAUCUGUUUGAAAUGGUGUGCAGGCAUUUUUUCCCCCUGCUUUUGGUAGUUACGGCUCUUAUUUUGUUUCACAUGUUGCUAAUUUGCUAGAACUUCAAAAAGAGUUUUAAAUAGCAGGGGCUAUUAAUAAUAGUCAGUUUAAAGAAGCAUCUUACAAUUCCUGGUUUCCCAAAAGAAUUUUUUUCCAGGAGUAUAUUUUUAAUUUUAUCAUAUUUUUUUCUAAGUGUCUUUCUGGAUCUUUUGAUAUGAUUCAUUAUAUGUAUGUAUUUUGGAAUAAUCUAUUGUCCUUAAAUUUUUACUUGGUCACAGGGUAAUGUAUUUUUAAUGUUUUAUUGAUUUGGGUUUGUAAGUAUUUUGUUUAGAGUGUUGGCCUCUCUCAUAUAAGUAAAAGGGCCUAGGUCUUUCUAUCUGUUUUAGGUUUUCAUGUUAGAGUGACGUUAACUUCAAAAGGUGAACGGAGAGACUUUGUGACCGCCUCUGGUGUCCUGAGGUCUCUCUGUCUCCUGCACUUCAGUCAAUGACACGAUCAUAUACCCAGUUAUUCAAGCAACUUAGGAGUUACCUUGGUCCAUCAAAUAUAAAAUACCAUGACUCUUAAACUAGAUCAUUAGUCUGUGUGCCAGUCAGAAAGGAGGAAAAUGAAGCCUGUCGAACUGUGACCCAAAGGCAUCUUGUCACUUAGCAUUUUUCUUGCAUAGUGAUUAAAAACUUGUUUAGAUCUCUUAGAAACACAGGUUGAAAGAAUCCGAUGUUACUGUAUGUAACAAAUAAGAAUGUAUGUAAAAUAAAUGUAAGGAUUUCCUCAUUUCUUUCACAUCCUGGAGCCACAGUCUCCUGGGUCUCCAGACCCCAUGUGGUUGUGGUCCACACAACACCAUCAUCCAAUCAAUGGUGCGCAGGUGAGUCAUAGCCCACCGUUGUCUCCGGGCGUUUCCCCAGCUCCUGGAGGCCUUCUGCGAGUAGGCUGUGCAGCCCUGGCAACAGCAGCCGCUCUGUGCCUGUGCCAGACACAGUCAUUUCAGAUGCACGGUGACUCCAGAGGUGGUAAAAUUGGAGAAAGAUCAUGUCUUAGUAUGAACGAACCAUGCUGUCUGAUUUCUCUCUUCCUCACCCUCCACAUCCAAACUGUUAGUGAGCAAGUGCUUUCAAUUCUGUCUCAAGUAAUUUAUAGUGUGUAGUUCUCGUAUCUGCUUAUUUCUGUCCAUCCCCACUGUUGCACCCUUGGUGUGGUUGACCGUGAAUGUCAUCUGGAUGAUGCCAACCCUCUAAGUGGCUCCCUGUCUCCGCCGCCCCCCCCAGCCCUAAAGUCUCAUCUUCACAGGGCACCACAAGUUUCCUUAAACUCCUUCCCAUGGCCCUCGGGCCACUCCAUGUCUGGUCCCUUCGUAAAUGCCAUAUUUUAGUUUCUCAGAUAUGCCAACCUUCAUCCAACUUUCACAUAUGCCUUUUUCUCAGCCUGAAAUGCUUUCCCUCACAUUCCUCCCAUUCCCUGGGUGUCAGCCUGAAUGUCGUUUCUCCAGAGACGUCUUCCUGAUGUGCCUACUGAACUUUUGUGCACUUGCUUUUGAUAGGGUCUAUUCCCCAAAGCAUCUCAGGAAUAGUUUGUGGGUAGUAUUUUCUCAACGUGUGCGUCCUUGAGAAUGUCUUUUGAUCGUCUCCUGUCAUGAAUGACAGUGAGGCAGAGGGCAUGGCAUGGGCCAGAGUUUCUCUCCAACCUCAUCAUCUAUGUGGUGUGGCUCAGCUUGACAAGGGAAGUAUAAUCCCAACCCUGUGGUCUGGAGCUGCCAAGCUGUGAAACACACAGUCCAGUCCACUGGCUGGUCAGUGACUAAUUAAGCCGUCUUUCUGAGUAACUUGAAGUAAGAGAUGUAAAGAAGAUGGUUAUUCUGUGGUUGAGGUUUGAUCUGCAAAGCCACAUGGAGUUAGCACCAGGCAAGAAAGCAACAACAGGUGAUGGAAGCCAGAGGAGGGGUGGUAGAGAGAAGCAGACCAGCCGGAGGAGCAGGUUGACAGCACGUGUCUUUGAAAAGGAGGCAGGGCGGGACGGAGGCCAAGAAACCCAGAGGCACCGCUGCAUCAAGGACUUUAAUUCUCUUUUUCAUCAGAAACAGCAACUUGUUUGAGUUCUACCCCGGAUACACACGGUAUAUGCGUGUACGUGUGUCCAGGCACCUGUCCGCCCGCAUAGUCUCCUCUUGUCUGUCUCCUGAACUUCACACGUUUGAUAUUCAAAUAUCCUGCAAUACAUUCUUUAGGAGCUUGGCCAGAGGGGUUUCUCAGGGCCCGUACAUACCCAGCAUGCAUGUGGUUGGGUCAUGCUCUCUCUAGCCUGUUUGAUAGUCCUCAGCUAGGAGCCCUGCUAGGUCCUGUGAAAACCAGCUCAGGAGACGAAAUCAUCCUGCCCCUCCUAACUCUCUCUUCUUCACAACUAUCACUUUCGAGUGAUGCCCACACCGCCGCUCCUACUCCUGUCCCUGCCCUCCUGUGUCUUUGUGAGAGACCACACUACCAGAAUGCAGGGCCCCUGUGUCCUGCCUUGUCCCAGCCUUUUCCAGGAAGAUGCGUGGCCUUUGAUCUGAGUUGGAGUCAAAAGGCAGUGAUGGCCAUGAGCACAAUGCUGGAGAGGAUUUAGCAGUAGGACCUCCGGAACGAAGGCCUUCUUGGCCUCGGGAUGCUGUGGACUCUGCUUCAGAGCUGGAGGCCGACGCCAAGGGCAGACACCGUCUUCCUCUGUCCUCGGCAGACAAAGCCAGCAUUGCCAGCCGAAAAGCCAGUGUUUUCCACUGACUUUAUUCUUUUCUUCAUCUAUGUUGAUUCCCUUUGGAGUUAGUGGCCAUUCCUCCGAUACUGAGAACAGAUUCACUCAGGUUAACUGCUGGUCCUGUUGGUUGUUUUGCGAAUGUUCUUUUAGUUUUCAUCCUUCUACGCAUUUUCACGGGUACUUUGGCGGUGACUGCAAGAGCUGUGUCCGGGGCUGCCGCGGGGUUAUCAGGUAAGCCCCAGGCCCCAGACUGUCCAAAGUGCACCUGAUUCCUCGCAGAACCUGGCAGAUCUAUGCCCUUCAGAAUCCAAGUUUAGCCAAGGAAUCUGCUCACAAUCCUGUGUAUUCAUUUCACAAGCUGGGAGCCAUCCUGAAAGUAUGUAGACAUUUUAAAAUAGUUCUCUCUUAUUUAGAAAAAAAAAGUCUGCUUUCAUUUAAAGAGUCUCCCUUUUCUUCUUGUUUCAUAUAAACCAACACAAUUGGUUUUGUAAUGCAAAUGUUUCUUUGUUCUUCCAAGAAAUUGUAGAGGAUACGAUAUCUCAACUUCUAAAACCUUGCAUAGCAUCAAUGCAAAAAUUGCACUGGCCACAGUUCGACAUGGAAGGAAGACUUCGUUCAAGGCUCCUGCAACAGAAAGGGGGCCAGGACUCGUUCUGAGCUGAACUCCCCUGAAACAAAGGCUAGACAGAUUUAAGAGCUAGGGUGGGGGUUCCUUGGCCACACGUGUUCAUCAGCUGGGCUUUCCCCAAGGAAAAAUGAACGUGCUCAAGUCAGAAGGUAGUUUUACAGCUCAGUCAGGUGCCUCUGACUUUGGCUCUUGUCUUCCCACAGAGCCUGGGGGAUGGGGGAGCUAUGUUCCUUGAUGAUGACAUUUCAAAGGGACCCAAGUCCCUGAAAAAGGCAGCCCCAGGUUGUAAAACAGACACGAGGCUUUUAAAAAGAUUAUGUCUCAAAGGGGCAUUUGCAAUUAUAAGUUUUUUUUAAAACGUAAAUGCUGAACGGGUACCUGGGUGGCUCAGUCAGUUGAGCUGCUGACUCUUGAUUUUGGCUCAAGUCAUGAGCGUGGAGCCUGCUUGGGAUUCUCUCUCUUUCAGGGUGCCUGGGUGGCUCAGUUGGUUAAGCAUCCGACUCUUUUCUUUUUUUUACAUUUAUUUAUUUUUGAGAGACAGAGACAGAGCAUGAGCAGGGGAGGAACAGAGAGAGAGGGAGACACAGAAUGUGAAGCAGGCUCUAGGCUCUGAGCUGUCAGCACAGAGCUCGACACAGGGCUUGGACUCAGGAACCGUUAAGAUCAUGACCUGAGGCAAAGUCAGGUGCUUAACCGACUGAGCCACCCAGGCACCCCUAAAAACCUUAUUUUUAUUUUGCCUUUAACAGGGCAUAUAAUAUAAUGAUUAAAGUAGUUAUUACUUGAUGUAGAACAUGAUUAUUUUUUAAAAAUUCUUUUUAAUGUUUAUUUUUGAAAGAGAGAGAGAGAGGUGGGGGGAGGGUCAGAGAGAGAGGGAGACACAGAAUCUGAAGCAGGUCCCAGGCUCUGAGCUGUCAGCACAGAGCCCAACAUGGGGCUUGAACUCACGAACCACAAGAUCAUGACCUGAGCCGAGGUCCCCCACUUAACCGAUUGAGCCACCCAGGCACCCGAGCAUCCAAGUCUUGAUAUUGGCUCAGGUUAUGACCUCACCAUCAUGAUAUUGAGCCCCAGGUUGGACUCUGCAUUGACAGUGAGGAGCCUGCUUGGGAUUGUCUCUUUCCCUCUCUCCCUCUGCCUUCCUCCAUUCUCACAGUUCUCUCUCUGUCUCUCAAAAUAAAUAUAAAUAAACUUAAAAAAAAGAUUCUAUCUCUCUUCCCUCUACCCUUCUCCCCUGCUUGUGUUCUCUCCCUCUCUCUAAAAAAUAAAUAAGUAAAGAUAAUACUCAAGAGGGAAGAGGAGGGCAGGGCAGGGCCUAGAGCUUGGAAGGAGCCUGUGUGAAGGCUGGUCAAGCUGAGGGGAACAGCAAGGCCACCUUGGUCAACAGGGAAUCAACAAAUGAAAGGGCUGAGAGAUGAUGGCGAAUUCCCCACUUUGGGGUAUGUGUGUGCGUGUGCGUGAGUGUAUGUGUGUUUUCCCCGUGAGCCACAACAGCCACCCGGCUUGUAGAUCUGUGGGAUGCUUCUCUCUGUGGCACUGCCCCUGGGCACUUUGUGCUCCGGGUGUCAGGUAACAAAGCCUCGGGUGGCCCUUUAGGCUGAAGACAGGAGAGCUGGGACACGAAGAGACACUUCAGAGCCCAAACCUAGUGUUGGCUCAGUGGCUGUCCAUCAGGGCUAUUCCUGGGGCCACUGAGGGGUGAGCGGCCUCAUGGGGAAGGCGCUGCCAGCUCGCCCUGUGCUGUGCCUUCUGUGCUGUGCGUGUCACCUGCUCAGAGCUCCAGCUCCACGGCUCUUCCAGAAGCCCUGACCUCUGGGUCUCCUCCCAGAUGUGUGUCGGGCAAGCUGGGGCACGCGGAUUUCCCCAGGUAGCUUCUGCAGGUGCGGGGGGGACCGUGGUGCCCAGGCUGUUAGAAGAAAGGCGACCUGGAAGGGAGGUGACAGGAAAUCCAUGGAGCUUAGUAGGUCAGUUGUAAUUAAGAAGGAGCUUCCCCCUUAUCUGUUUUUUCCAGACCAUCUCAAACAUCUUCCUGAGAAUAAACAGACCUUAUCUGUAAUACAAUCUGACAGGCUGUUAAUACACAGAGAGUGUGAUGUGAUAUCAGUCGGGAAGGAGGUUUGCAGUUGACGAGAGUUUCUUUUUUCCCAAAGCCACUUUCUGUUGUGCGACCCAGGAUCCCUCCAGUCACACAAAGGCAGCUGCUCCUUAAGGGGAAGUGAGCCAGCUCUGCUGUGCCCUCAUCUGGAGGGUCUGUGCAGUUAGGCUGGUGUGGUGGCCUGGGGACAGGGGACCUGGGCGGCCAUGAGGGAACCCCCUGAUUGCACGGAGCCUGUUCCUGUUCCGAGGAAGGCAGACUCCCGAAGACCGAGAAGAGGCUCCAAUGUCUGUCGGGAUUUCCUUGGGCCGGAGGCCUGGUUGGUGGGAGCACAGCCCUGGUCUGUGUGUGAAUCACACCCCCCCCCCCAGGGUGGCCCUGGCCCCCCUCUCCUCCUUACAGCAGAGUGUCCCCCCCCACUUCCUGCAGCCUGGAAGCCUGGGUGUGGGACUCACCUUCCACAUGGGACAAUUGUGGUUUCCCAGGGCUCCCUGCUCACUUCUGUUGUCCCCCGUGUAUUACAAGUGGAUGUCCUGGGUGCACCCCUUUCUUGUGGUAUUGAGAACCCCAGAUGCCCCUGUAUCACUCCCUGAAGAGUCACCUUUAGAGCCCAAGAAGGGGGUCCUUGCUGGUGCUUCAAGAAAGAAAAGUUUUCUGAUGUCUUGUGCAAGAUGGUGAUUUCUGUGGCUCUUCUAAAGCCAGCUGGAAUCUUACCUCCUGAUGGAGAUGGUAUUGCCGUGGUCCCACCCGUCAGAUCUAGAUCCCCUGGGAGGCUUUCAUUUAUAUGUUGGCACUAACCAUGUGUCUUCUCUUAGGGGGGGGUGUGUGCCUCUAAAUCCUGAACCCACAGAAGUUGGGGACUGUGUCUUAAUUUUCUUCAUAUGCUUUAACAUAGUGAAUGUUUAAUAAGCAAGCAUUGAAUUAUUGUUCAACGGAGUUUACAGUCUUCCUGGCUCUGAAGAGAAAAAUCACGCUAGCUAUAUUCCUUGUGGAACCUUCUUCCGAGAGUAACACUUCUUCCUAGGCCAUUGCUCCAGGGUGUUGCUGGUGAAGCUUGUGCGUAGGAGUAGGUAAGACCCCGGAGGGAUUCUUCUUGUUUACUUUAGCGAGAGUAUUAAUUCCCAACAUGACCUACAAACCUAUCGUAAGAGUUAAUAUUGAAAAGAUACAAAGGUGUUGUCAAAAGUCGAUUUUAGGGGAGCGGCUCUGUGGACGGUGAUGCUGGUGGAGAGGGGGCUGCUGUGAUCCAGGUCACAGAUGUUGGUGGCCUGAACCUGGGUGGUAGCAGCUGGGAGGAGAGGUUGAUAGGGAGCAACCAGCUCGGUUUGUUCCUGGAGGAGAGGAAGUGAGUUCUCCCUCCUACCACAAGUGCUUCUGCAACCCGGGUUGAUGGCGGGACCACCUGCUAAGCCACGAAACGUGGGAGGAGAAAACUUGGGGGGGGGGAAAUAUUUGAGUUUUUGACUCUUGAUUUAAAGAUACCGUGAGACAUCCCGGUGGAAAAGUACUUCUCUUCUUGGGCGGGUGUCUGGAAGCUUCAGGACAAAGCCUGGCUGACGACAGACGUGUGUGUGAGUCACCAGCAUCUAUAUGCAAAGAGCCCUUGAUGAGGGAGGUCUGGUUCUAUGUCAAAGGUUUCAUUCACUGGUCAACUGAAAAAUAAGAAAAAUGAACAUAAAUUAUUAACAUUUAAUAAAGCUAAUUUAAAAGAAUGUGCUUUAUUCUACGAUCAGGACCUUCCCUAAUACUUGUUAUUAAAAUGUCUUGGAAAAACUAAAACCUGGUAUUCAUAUUUUGGCUCCCUAGGGAUUAUAGUUUGAUUUUCUGUUUCAUCCUAUGGGAAAUUAGUAGGCAUGUAUGGAGGGUUUAAAGCAGGGAGUGGCAGAGAGCGUGGGUGGUUCAGUUGGGUUGAGCGAGUGUCUGACUUCAGCUCAGGUCAUGAUUUCAGGGUUCGUGGGUUCGAACCCCACGUCGGGCUCUAUGCGGACAGCUCCGAGCCUGGACCCUGCUUCGGAUUCUGUGUCUCCCUCUCUGUCUGCCCCUCCCUUGCUCACGCUGUCUCUUUCUCUCUCUUUCUCCCUCUCAAAAAUAAACAUUAAUUUUUUUUUAAAAGAAUAAGGCAAGGAGUGGCAUGACAUAUAAAGCAUAUGAGAGUGGAGAUUCUAUCCACUAUCCCCCACUUGAACCCACCAGAUUACCAGGUUAAUUCGUACAGCAGAGAGAUUAAUUUUAGGUUUUCCUUGCAGACAUGGUCCUUCACCCGGCCCCAAGCUGCUCAGUCCGCACCUGUUACCACUAUGGCGGGCUUGAAGCAGAUAGAAGCACUUAGGUCAUUUUUGGUUGUAACAAACGUAGGUGCCAGAGCCAAUCUUCUGCUGAGUUAGAUCUGACACACCUUAGAGGAAAAUCUAUUUGGAAACGUAAAACACGUUUUUAAUUCGAUUAAUUACAUUGUAUUAGACGCGAUUAUCUUCUCCUUUGACUAACAGUGUUCCAACAUCUGCACCAAUGUGGGAUCGCUAACUCUGGAAACGACAGACAUUGUUUCUCUCGUUUCCAAAAUGUAUGGCACUAAAAGUAGCUUGGAAGUUUCCAGAAUUUUCUUCUGCGGUUCAUUCAUUCCCAACGCAUGGGUACACCCCUAAAAUGAGCGUGGGCGGUCUUUUCGUGCUUUGCCCCUGAAGUCUGGCGGGUCUGCUACCAGGUUCCUCUGGACCCUUGGUCACCUCGGGAAGCGAUGUGCUGUUUGUGAAGGCGUUUUCUGGAGAAAGUGCACUUAUCACCAUAAAUUCAGUUUUACAUGACUCCUAUAGCAGGAAAUUUAAAUAGCUGCUUUCUCCUCAUGAUCCUUUCUUUUUUCCUGCUGAUGCUUUGCACAGUCUGUUGAUUACAAGGAGCUUGUUCCUAAAAUAAGACGCUAAACCACUGAAUGGCAAAGGAACACAUUGAACAAAAGUCCUCGUAAAUCCUGUAUGAGUUUAGCGAAUGCCUGCUCCAUUUUAACAUGGAGACAGACAGAAUGACAAAUUAGAUGCCAAGUAGGCAGAGACAUAUUCUGAUACCAAAUGCUCCAAGUGCUGACGACAUUUUCCUAGUGUUUCUGUAAUCCUUAAUGUUAGGAGGAUUCUAUCAAUUUUUACUGCAAAUUAAAGGGCAACAGGGCACCGAUCAGUGUUUCCCUGGUGGAAAAAUGGGGUCACAGGUUGUACUUCCAGUAAUACACCGAAGGUGACAUGGCCCAGCCCAGAAUGUCAGCCACAUUUCAGCAUAUAUGGGAAUACUCCAUUCAAAUGACUUUGAUGACAUCUAGCCUACUCCACACUAGAUCCUAUGGGGAUUGUUGAGCUUAUGUUGGUGAAUGGGAAACUAUUCUUACCUUGAAGAAAGAGAAUGUUUGCUACUGGAAAUAAGCAAGAUAGAAUUGGGCGUAGCAUAUUGUGAAAUGUCCCAAACUUGCUGAAUAUAAGCAAAUAUGAAGAAGGGGCUAUUUUCUUUUUCUGGGGCCAAAACAUCUGACUUGAGCUUCUAAGUUUGUAUAGAGGGAGCCAGGACAUAAGAGUCAUGGCAGGCAAAGGAAACAGCAGCCUGAGUUUUCUGGUCCACAUAAAAAGAUUCGGAAAGUGUCUCACACUGUAACAUGUCAUUUGAAGAAAGGAUUCCACUGCUAAUAAAACCACUGAUUUAGGGGAACUCGGUACAUUCCAGACUUGGAUGGAGUGAAUAAAAAGGACUUUCUCUAUGAUCUGGUUAUCAUUUCUUCCAAUAUUGAAGAGAGAGGGAAAGACUAAAUAAGAAUCUGUCCUGACACAUGGACUAAGAAUUCUAUAACUCAGGGUUUAGAGCAGCAGUUUGAAUUCUCUGCAACUGUCACAAUCUCAGAAAGUGCAAUCAAGCUAAAUUUGGUCUUGAGACUCUCUGCUAGUCUUAUAUUUCAGGCAGAAAAAAUGCGGUGCAGAUAAAGACAGAAGUAGUAAAAACGUAUUUUGGAAUUUACGUAGAGGCAUAUUUAGUUUUCUGGCAAGUAGUGUUGGGUUUAACUGCUCUGUUUAUCACUAAAUAUUUAAAUCAAUGUUGUAUGUCUCUGAGCAGAUGUGACAAAUCUGUGGCGAGUACAAGAGAAUGUCUUUUAUUGCAUUGUAACAAAUCCAAGGGGUGAUGGUCCAGGUACGUCGGCUCUGGCUUGGGGUAAAGUGCGAGGAUGGUGUGAUACGGUGAGAGUGUGACACAAUACAGGGGAGAGACACAGCACAGGAGCCAGAGUCAGACAGCCCUGGUUGGGGCUUCUGACCCAGCCACUUACCAAAAACACAUCUAACCAGCGAGCACGACUCAGAGAUCACCUUGUAAGUGGAUGCCUUGUUAAGAUGCCGUAAGCAUUAAAUGAGAUUGUAGGAGAAAUGAGUUUGUCUCUUUGCCUUGGUGGGAAGCAGUCUGAAAUGAAGUGUAUAACAUAUUUCUGGUUGAUUAGCAAACAAGAAGAUAUAAAGAAUAAAUAGGGGCACCUGGGUGGCUCAGUUGGUUGGGCGUCUGACUUCGGCUCAGGUCAUGAUCUCACAGUAUGUGGGUUCGGGCCCCGCAUCAAGCUCUGUGCUGAUAGCUCAGAGCCUGGAGCCUGCUUUGGAUUCUGUGUCACCCUCUCUCUCUUUGCCCCUCCCCUGCUCAUGCUCUGUCUCUCUCUCUCAAAAGUAAAUAAUAAACAUUCAAAAAAAAAUUUUUAAUAAUGAAUAAUUAAAUAAACCUUUUAGGAGCAAAUUGUGCUUGAUUAUAUUAUUUUCUAAAGAUGCCCAGUUCUCUUCCCCCAAGGGGGAGGACUAUGCUUCUCUGCCACAGAGAUGUUGGCCUGGUCAUGGAACUUGUUCUGGAACGUGCAUGACUGAAAAAUGAUGGAUGGAGCAGAGGCUUUAAAUGUGCUUGUGUGGUUUGGUUUGUUGUUUUUUUCCUCCUGUUUUCUGCAUGCAAAGAUCAUGUCCUAGGUACCUUCCUCUCCCUCACCCUGGAUUGUGGAAUGGGGCAGACAGAAAACAGGCCUGAACUCUGCUCAUACCCUGGAGCGUGGCCUCCAGUCGAACCACAAAGCCACAAAGAUCAUGGCACAUUUCAUACUCUGUAAGAAUGUGUCCGAAGACAAGGCUGGCUAUAGCUUUCGAGAAGUCAUGUGACAAUUUUGUGGCAGGUCCUGCGAUGCACCUAUGGCAGAGGCAGUAAGCAUCCUCAUCCAUCCAUAUGCUUCUUGAGUACCCACUCUGCCUGUGGAAUUAUACCGGAGUACUUGAAUGCUGGUGAGUUUUUAAAUCUAGACGAAUAAACACCAACACAGUAUGGAAAGAGAAGUAGGAUUAUUGGGAUCUAAUUUGGGAAGCAAGCACGUAAAAGAAUCAUUCAUAAGAUGCUGGGUGAAGUGCAGCUCCCACGCAGGUAAGAGGCGAUAUACCGAAGCAGAGAACCGUACUCCUAGCAGGUGGCUUGUGGAAGGAGGAAUCAGUGAGCAUUCUGAGCCCGGGUGCCACUGAUAGUUCUGAGGCUCCAGCGCAGGCCAGUGAGAAAGCGCUGGUGCGACAGCAUCCUGAUUCAGUUCAUCUCUGAGAACGGAGAGUUGGGAGAACUUGAACCACAGAAAGCCAUUUUACACGUCUUUCGUUCCAACUGUCUUUGUAAACUCAUAUGUAAAUCAAAUCACCGCGAAGAAAUGGACCCCCUUUUGUAGCGGUGUAUGUUUGAGACGUUUUGGUGUUCUGGUCCACUGGCAUGUCCUCUCCUGACAGGUCACAAUAAUGCUUUUCAAAAUAAUACCUGGCAGGUACGUGUCAGUUUGUGAUAGUCAGGGUGUACUCAAAUCCAUUCACUCCUUUGGUCUUUGCGGCUAGCAUGCCUUAUUUUAACAUUCAUUCAGCAAGCAUAGGCUGUGCGUUUGUCAUGCGGCAGGUGAGUUACUUGAUGGCAUAAAUGACAUAAAUAUAAAAAGAGACAUAGUCUCAGCCUCCACCAAAUGUUCAGCUUCAUGGUCAAAAUUCACAACACUAGUAUACGACAGACACAAAUCUUAGAAAUCAAAAACGUUUAACAGAGACACUAAAUAAAAUCUUGCAGACUUAAGCAGGCAGUGAAUAUUAUAACUUAGGUUAAAACAUUGACUCUUGAUUGAGUACUCUCACUAAGAUAGCCUAGUGUUAAUACCAUGUUUUUUAAAAAUAUAAAAUGUAUGUUUUGAAGAAUAUACUUUUGACAAAGACUAAAUAUGUUUUCAAUGCCACUUAGUUAUUUUAGGGGGGGGAAGUAAAAAACAAAAACAAAACCAAAACCCUUUUGUCAAUGAACCUUCAUGAGCCAAGGCAAAAACAAAGAUGUAACAGUGAAAAGCUGUCUUUGCCUCUGGUCAGAAAGAAGGAGACUGAGUACUGACCAGAGACCUUUAAUGGGGAACAACAUGACUGCAGCAUUAACCAGGGGGCUAGUGUGCAGUUCGGGACCACAGUGACCCCUUUGUGUGUCUUGCCCUUCAUGUGAUAGUUAGAACUCACAUUCUGGACUUGAAAGCUGGGGUCAGCUCUUAGAGUCUGGGAUCUUAGGAAAGUGUCUUAAGCGUCGUAAGCUUGUUUUAUUGAUUGCCCUUUGAUGUCGUGCCAGAUCCCAAUAAGGAACAGAAAGUAAACCAAGUCAGUGAUUCAAUGUUGCCAUGAUUGAAGGUAUAAUAAUCAGGCAUCUAGAAAGUAGCACAACUUGGCGGCAUUUUGGAAACUCUUGUAAGAACAAUUGAUUAUGGGAACAACAUCAAAUACCCAGUUAUCCAAGGAUACAGGUGCCCGUGGGCCUAUGAUACUGCAAUUCAUUUUGAUUGCCUUGAAUAGUGAGGCUAGCUUAAUAUAUUGACAUUAAUUAAAAAACCAAAAACAAAAAAAUAUAGACCGGGUAUACAGCCAAACAUGUCUAAGAGUUACAAUUCCAAGCUUAAAAAUUUUUAUUAGAAAUAUCCAUGCUAGGGGCAACUGGGUGGCUCAGUUGGUUAAGCGUCUGACUUCAGCUCAGGUCACGAUCUCACAGUUUGUGGGUUCGAGCCCUGCGUUGGGUUCUGUGCUGACAGCUCAGGGCCUGGAGCCUGCUUGGGAGUCUGGGUCUCUCCUUCUCUCUGCCCCUUCUAUGCUCAUGCUCUGUGUCUUUCUGUUUCUCAGUAAUAAAUAAAUGUUAAAAAAAGAAAUAUCCAUGGUAAAUUCUGUCUAAUUUGUGCUACUUAAGCAGCAUGUUACUAAAUCAUUCACAGGUAGACCAAAAACUGAGUUUCACCUGGUAACAGAAAAGUACAUUGAGCUCAGUCCGCAGUCAGAGUGGCUUUUUGUUGACGUCAGAUCUGCUAGAGGAAAAAGGAUAUCUCUGAAAAUACAAGAAUCUUGGUUGCUUCUUGGUCCUGGAGAUUUUCGAGGUCUGAUCUAACCUCAGUCUUCUCUACACCCACCACUAAGGUCUUCACCCUGCUUUCAAGCAGCCGAGACAACUCGGCAAAAUGGUCCUGCAGCAAAUAAAUCCAUUGUCAUUGUUGCAUUUGUGGUGUCUUUCCACUCAGCACGAGGAGGCGGCCAUGGUGACCUUGUGCACCAUGGUUUCAGCAGCACGGAAUCUAAUGCUUGGCACAGGAAGCAGUUAUAACUGUUACUGAACAUUAUCCACGCCACUUUCCCUAUUGUCUUUAUUUCCAACAAUGCUGGUUUGCAUGAAUUCUCUUUUUCUUAAUUGCCGGCAGACAACUCUUAGCAUCUGUUACACCGUCCGGGUCAGGCCAUCACACUGGUGAUACAUCCGUUCGCCGCUUGUGACCUCAGUUUCUUUCCCUUCUUUCCUCUUAGAGGCCUCCCCUCCUCUUUAGAGCUAACCCGUUGUCGGAGCAAAUGCAGACUUUUAACUAAGAGGCUAAUACUCUGCUGAAAAUAUGAGGAGAGAUUUACUACGUCCCGUUUUUAGAGCUUUUACCGUAGAAAACUCGUAAGCAGUUUUCCUGUCUCUUUACAAUGUAUGGAGAUCUUUUUUAAAAAUGGGUGGUUUAGUCGGUUAAGUGUGUGACUCUUGGUUUCAGCUCAAGACAUGAUCUCAUGGUUUGUGAGUUUGAGCCCUGCAUCAUUUGAGUCUCUGUGCUGCUGGUGUGGAACCUGCUUAGGAUUCUCUCUGCCCCUCCCCUGCUCUCUCUCUCUUUCAAAAUAAAUAAAUACACUUAAAAAAAAAAAAACCAACCAUAGGAGAUAAAUGGUAUUAUGGAAACAAACAAACAACAAACAACUAAGUAAGACUCCAGCCAGCUUCAUGACCCAAGACUGUCUUUCUCAAAGACCCGGAAAUCACCCUUCCGAAAUGCAGCCAUCUCCCGGUGUCUGUGGGAGGGUAGGAGCCUAACUUUGGUGGGCUUCUUGCUCCAAGUUGCCAAACGACCUCCUGUUAUGAAGAUAGGAAGACAGAAGUUUAUUUUUCCUCUGCACAAAGCCAGUUAGCCAACGCGGACAAUCACCCCCAUUACCAGGUGAAUCUAGGAUGAGCUGUUUGUGACCAUGGUGUGUCGCAUCCUCUUCCUGGAGGACUAGUCAGUGUUUCUCUCGAGAACAUAUAUGCAAUGGGCUGUAUCUGCUUGGAUAUACAAAGGUGGGAUUUCUUUCAUCUUUGCAAUUUCCAGGGAGAUAUCUGUGAUGCAUAUAAUGUUCUGCCUUAAUAGUCACUCAAUUAUAAAAUUGUUUUCUUUCUCUUCUACCUUUGUGGAGAGGUUCCGAGCUUGUUGAAAGGUUUUAUUCUUAAUUAUAUUUCCCAAACAUGUAUGCCAUUGAGCCUAUCAGCAACCUCCUAGCAGGCAUCUACUUUAUGCCCGAUAAAUGCUACUUAUAUUAAUACCUGACUUAAUUUUUACAAUUUAUUGAAGCAGGUUUUCAUAAACCACCACUUUACAGUUGAAGAAACUGGGACAUUAAAAAAAAUACAUUAAGUAGUUUGUCUAAAGCCCGUUAGCUUUAACUGGCAAAACCACAGUUUGAAAUCCCUGCUGACCACAAACUUGUGCUUUUCAGCACUACAUUCUAUUUCUACAGUUCUCUCUCUUGAGACUUUGGUGCCUGCUUUUCAAAGACUGAGGUGUAGACUUACCUAUAGAACCUGAGAGAGACUGGAGCUCUUCAGAGUCACAGAGACUACCAGCCUGGGAUGUGGGAGGCACAUGACUGGGGCCUGAGGUCCUUGUUGGAACUUCCUAAGCAGGUGGGAGCGGAGGGUGGGUGUGUGUGAUUAGACAUGAGAUGCUGUGGUCAGCAAUUUCUAUCAUUAGUUCUCACAGGAGAGUGAUGAGAAGGAAGCUGCUAUUAUCCUCAUUUUGAAUAUGUAUGCGUUAGGCUUGUUACAGAACUCACAGAAGGUUGACCAGCUGGUAUGGAGCAAGCUAACCCACAUGUCCUUAAGACUAUUAAGGCAACAGCAACAGCAACAGCAAUAGCAUCUCCUACCUGGUCAUAAGAAUUGUAUCAGUACUUCUUAAAAAUACUGAACGAUCAGGACAUUUCACCGGAGAGCCCUGUUUAGUACUUUUGCCAAAUGCCCCUUGUGGGUCUCUAGUAAGUAAGUAGAGACGUCGGCCGCAGAGGGUUCUGAGAGAUGGGAGGUUGACGGAGUGGGGGUGCACACGGGGUUGUUGGAGCAGGUGGUGUUGACUUCCAAUAGAGUGGUCUUUAGAGUGACAGUGGUAGAACCAUCACGAAAAGUAAGGAAUCCUUUGGGUCCCUUUCUUAGGUGAUGAAUUUGGGAGCUUGGAGAGAACUUGUAUUGGAAAGAGAUGUGAGUGAGGGGUGGCCGCGUGGGAAAGAUGUUAGACGUGAGAUGUCUGCUGACUCUGCAGACCCAACUAGACCCCAAAUUCCAAGGUCUCAACCAAAGCAGCUUUCUCCUCUAUAAUUAACGAGAAGCCCAAUGAAUUAGCAAGCAACACAGGGUUAGAUCCUAGGGCAAAGAAGUGUGUCGUUAAAACAAGGGAAAGCAAAGCAGUUUAGCAUAGCCAUUGAAGGUGUGUUCCAGAAAAUCCAUGAGAGGUGAAUGAAAACAUGUAAUUCAUGAGCAUUAGCAAGAGUCUUCCUGAUACAGGAGUGCUGAUGCAUAGGGGCACUUGUACCCCAAUGUUUCUAGCAGCACUCUCAACAAUAGCCAAAUUAUGGAAAGAGCCUAAGUGUCCAUCAACUGAUGAAUUGAUAAAGAAAUUGUGGUUUAUAUACACAAUGGAGUACUACGUGGCAAUGAGAAAGAAUGAAAUAUGGCCCUUUGUAACAACGUGGAUGGAACUGGAGAGUGUGAUGCUAAGUGAAAUAAGCCAUACAGAGAAAGACAGAUACCAUAUAUUUUCACUGUUAUGUGGAUCCUGAGAAACUUAACAGAAACCCAUGGGGGAGGGGAAGGAAAAAAAAAAAAGAGGUUAGAUUGGGAGAGAGCCAAAACAUAAGAGACUCUUAAAAACUGAGAACAAACUGAGGGUUG